RNAcentral lists this long non-coding RNA (2492 nucleotides) under Olea europaea subsp. europaea. Lineage: Eukaryota; Viridiplantae; Streptophyta; Magnoliopsida; Lamiales; Oleaceae. The record is from RNAcentral.
CUUUUUACAUGAUUAUUUAAAAUACCCAUAAUUUUAGGAGUAUCAUUUAAGUUGCCCAAUGAUGUAUGUGGUGUAAUUUCUACUUUUUCAAUGAAUUAGACUGUGCCUGAGUGUGCUAGGUUGUUACUUUUUCUCAAAAGUAAGUCAUGGGUCAACUUCUUAUUUUAACUUUCUUUUUGAAAGAGCAAGUUAAAUAAUAAAAGAAGUAAUUACACAUUUGACAAAUAAAUAACUGUGCAACUAUCUAGCGCACAAUUACUCGAAGUCAUUACGACAUGAUAUGCACUUAACCAUAUGUUCAAUGUCAGUAGUUGCCUGUUGGUUCAUCAAUUUUUAUUUGACAAUAAUCCAAUGAACUUCAUUGAUUCUUGGAUGUCGAAGAUUCCACUCGAGUUUUCGAACUUCUCACGGAGACUUGUCUUUGAACAUAGGUAAUACUUUGUUUACAAAUUUUUUUCUUCAUUUGCUAAUUUUAAUAAAAUUACUUUCCCGUUCAAUAAUUUCGUUGCACUUGUUAACUAUGAUGUUAUCCCUUUUUUUGUUUUCAGAUAUAUCUACAACCAUGAUAAUUCCGCCUGGUCCCGUGGUAGACUUUCUUAUUGCAAACCAAAAUGUGAAGGAUUCAUUUUCUAUUAACUUGGCAAAGGUAAUGAACAAUUUCAUCUAGGCAAUUGUAAGUUUCUUUAAUCAAGAGUGUUUUCUCGUUGCAAAUAAAAUCAACUAUAUUUGAACCCCUCAGGCAAAACGUGUUCAGAAGAAUUUAAGGACAACGAAAUUAUUGUCACUACAUUAUGGCAAUUAUGCAUAAUUCUACACCAAGCUUGCUAAUUAGCAAACCUUGUCGUCCAUUUGGAACAUGUCCCCUUUCCCAAGCCAGCUACACAACAUUCUCUAAAUAUGUUUCUCAAUCAUGCAAAAUGCAUGCUACAUAUGUGAUUCAAUUACCUCAUUUCCUUUUUGGAACUCUUAAGAAUAAUGUCAUCUUUCCUAGAAUAGAAUAUAUUUUUCCCAGAAGUACGACACUUGAAAAUUUAUUAGCUAAAGGUAGAACCCUCUAAUUCUCCUAUAAAACUUCAUGCUAGCUUUAAUUGGGAUGUUCAAUCCAAAUAGAUUAAACAAGAAAUGCUUAGUUAUUAUGAUACUCUUGGUCUCUUCAACGAGAAUUCCAAGAUUAGCAAAAAUUUAAAUACGUCAACUAUGAACGUAUAUUCAAACUUCUUCAUCUUCUUUUGUGUUGUAGUCUGCACUAUUUUUUUUUUCCUCUAUACUAAACAGACAUUUAGUUUUUAGUGUGCUUUUAUUUUCAUCGUAUAAAGUCGUUUGAUUUAAUAACUAAUUAAAAAAGAAAAAAUCUCACAUUAAUAGUCAUUUAAGAUAUUGUGAUUUGUGAUGAUGGCACUAUUACAAAUACGUGCACUAACUCAAUCAUUCAAAGAGUUUUUGGCAAAUGAGGACCCCUAAUUCCACCUGACGUACACAGUAUCCUUCAUGUCUAUUGAUUGGAGUUAUUUCUUUAUGUAUUUGCCUUUACAUGUUCACUCCUCUCAUGAAAUGCAUUCAUAAAUUUUCUUAUUGCACUGCUAUUAUAAUUGUCAUUUUCUCUAAUUUCUUCCCUAACCUUAAAAUGUGUCCUUCAUAUAAAACCUUACACUAUGCUUUCAAGUAUCGAGUUGCCCAUCAUCGCACAUUUUGAUAAUACAUAGACAGGGAUAGGUAGCUAUUUAUAUAAAUCAUAAUCAUCUUAAUUAAAUAAUUAACUUUUUAAAAAUGUGUAACUAAUUAACGUUCUCCAUGCAAUCAUUUCAAAGAUUCUUGCAGAAUUCUCUAAAAUAUAGCAUGGAAGACGUUAAACAGUUCCACAUUCUACACCAAUUAUGUGUCUCAUCAUGUCAACCACUUUAUUAUUGUUCUCAUAAAAACUUUCAUUCACAUCUUAUGAGGUUUUAUGUACAAAGUGAAAGCUCUACCUUUUAUGAAAUUCAAUCUUACUUUUUUACAACAAAAUAAUCCCCAUAUGAAUGGUUGCACAAAGCCUGCUUCGAACUACAUGACAAUCAAUGCAGAGGUAAGGUCCUCCGUGAAAUUGUACUUUGUAUUAAAUAAUAUAACAUUUUGCAUUUCUAAUUUCCAUAUUGUAUACUUAAUCUUCUGUCCCUUACAUUCUUUUGUUUUUGUAGCUAGAUGGCUUAAAUUCUUUAUUAACCUUUACAUAAACUACGUUUAUCCCAAUGGUAUCCAAGGUCGCAGUUGAUUUCGAGGUUGUUACUCAAUGAUUGAUUUUUUGCCACUUUCUAAUUAUUGUAAUUUGCAUCUAUGUUUUUUAUUAAUUAUAUAUGUAGCUUUUGCUUCAUUUCUAUGUCAAUUCAAUGGAAAAGAAACCCGAUGAAAGUAUUUUUUGAAGUACAUUGUUGUAUUCAAGGUUGUAACACAAAUUGUUCUCCUCUUGUAAAUUUGAACUUCCUCCGAUGCCUUUUCCAUAAUGUUUCCUUCUC